AGUGAACGCUGGCGGUAGGCCUAACACAUGCAAGUCGAACGGCAGCACAGUAAGAGCUUGCUCUUACGGGUGGCGAGUGGCGGACGGGUGAGGAAUACAUCGGAAUCUACUUUUUCGUGGGGGAUAACGUAGGGAAACUUACGCUAAUACCGCAUACGACCUACGGGUGAAAGCAGGGGAUCUUCGGACCUUGCGCGAUUGAAUGAGCCGAUGUCGGAUUAGCUAGUUGGCGGGGUAAAGGCCCACCAAGGCGACGAUCCGUAGCUGGUCUGAGAGGAUGAUCAGCCACACUGGAACUGAGACACGGUCCAGACUCCUACGGGAGGCAGCAGUGGGGAAUAUUGGACAAUGGGCGCAAGCCUGAUCCAGCCAUACCGCGUGGGUGAAGAAGGCCUUCGGGUCGUAAAGCCCUUUUGUUGGGAAAGAAAAGCAGCAGGUUAAUACCCCGCUGUUCUGACGGUACCCAAAGAAUAGGCACCGGCUAACUUCGUG
Molecule: ribosomal RNA, 492 nt
Filed under: uncultured bacterium
Lineage: Bacteria
Description: partial 16S ribosomal RNA
Rfam family: Bacterial small subunit ribosomal RNA
Source: RNAcentral